Molecule: long non-coding RNA, 326 nt
Filed under: Capsicum annuum
Lineage: Eukaryota; Viridiplantae; Streptophyta; Magnoliopsida; Solanales; Solanaceae
Description: long non-coding RNA (CANN_LNC017149)
Source: RNAcentral
GCUAACAAUUUUGUUUUGAGAUUUGAUACAGACUGAAAGUACCUAGGCAGGAUAUGGUUAGUAGUACUAGGGAGGAUAUAGUAGCUAGUUGGUUUUUUCAGUUUUUGAAUCCAACUAUUUGCUUUGCUUGCAAUAGCAAAUAACCCAAAAAAGGCAACAAAAUUCAUGAUUGGCUUUGGUGGAAUCUGAAAAAUAAGACCAUCAACUUUCUGUGGCUGUAGAUGGGCUGCUAAACUCUAGCGUUUCAAUUAUUAUUAUUAUUAUUAUUAGUAGCAGCAGCAACAUUAGUAGUAGUACUACUAUUAUUAUUAUCCGUCUAUUUUAAC